UACGAAGGGGGCUAGCGUUGUUCGGAAUCACUGGGCGUAAAGAGCGUGUAGGCGGCCUGACAGGUCUGCUGUGAAAACUCGAGGCUCAACCUCGAGAUGUCGGCGGAAACCGUCUGGCUAGAGUCCGGAAGAGGAGAGUGGAAUUCCUGGUGUAGCGGUGAAAUGCGCAGAUAUCAGGAGGAACACCGGUGGCGAAGGCGGGUCUCUGGGCCGAUACUGACGCUGAGGAGCGAAAGCGUGGGGAGCGAACAGG
RNAcentral lists this ribosomal RNA (253 nucleotides) under uncultured bacterium. RNAcentral's name for it is "partial 16S ribosomal RNA". It matches the Rfam family "Bacterial small subunit ribosomal RNA", at positions 524 to 776 of the family's 1533-position model. The record is from RNAcentral.